Molecule: ribosomal RNA, 431 nt
Filed under: uncultured bacterium
Lineage: Bacteria
Description: partial 16S ribosomal RNA
Rfam family: Bacterial small subunit ribosomal RNA
Source: RNAcentral
ACGCACGCUGGCGGCAUGCCUCACACCUGCCAGUCGAACGAUGCUUUCGGGCAUAGUGGCGCACGGGUGCGUAACGCGUGGGAAUCUGCCCUUGGGUUCGGAAUAACAGUGAGAAAUUGCUGCUAAUACCGGAUGAUGUCUUCGGACCAAAGAUUUAUCGCCCAGGGAUGAGCCCGCGUAGGAUUAGCUAGUUGGUGGGGAAUGGCCUACCAAGGCGACGAUCCUUAGCUGGUCUGAGAGGAUGAUCAGCCACACUGGGACUGAGACACGGCCCAGACUCCUACGGGAGGCAGCAGUGGGGAAUAUUGGACAAUGGGCGCAAGCCUGAUCCAGCAACGCCGCGUGAGUGAUGAAGGCCUUAGGGUUGUAAAGCUCUUUUACCCGGGAUGAUAAUGACAGUACCGGGAGAAUAAGCUCCGGCUAACUCCGUG